CCAGGCAAAUCCGGAUAAUCAAGGCUGAGGUGUGAUGACGAGGCACUACGGUGCUGAAGUAACAAAUGCCCUGCUUCCAGGAAAAGCCUCUAAGCAUCAGGUAACAUCAAAUCGUACCCCAAACCGACACAGGUGGUCAGGUAGAGAAUACCAAGGCGCUUGAGAGAACUCGGGUGAAGGAACUAGGCAAAAUGGUGCCGUAACUUCGGGAGAAGGCACGCUGGUGUGUAGGUGAAGCCCCUGCGGGUGGAGCUGAGACCAGUCGAAGAUACCAGCUGGCUGCAACUGUUUAUUAAAAACACAGCACUGUGCAAACACGAAAGUGGACGUAUACGGUGUGACGCCUGCCCGGUGCCGGAAGGUUAAUUGAUGGGGUUAUCCGUAAGGAGAAGCUC
Molecule: ribosomal RNA, 395 nt
Filed under: Klebsiella pneumoniae
Lineage: Bacteria; Pseudomonadati; Pseudomonadota; Gammaproteobacteria; Enterobacterales; Enterobacteriaceae
Description: partial 23S ribosomal RNA
Rfam family: Bacterial large subunit ribosomal RNA
Source: RNAcentral